Gallus gallus (chicken) is the source of this 620-nucleotide long non-coding RNA. NCBI's taxonomy places the organism in Eukaryota, Metazoa, Chordata, Aves, Galliformes, Phasianidae. The record is from Ensembl.
AAAUUCUUCUGGUGAACUUAGUUCAGUUUUGAAGGGAAGGAAGUCGUUCCUGAUGGUUGGGGUCUCUGAAACUCUGAGGAUCGUGAGGAUUUCUGGCUGGGAAGAAAAAUGUGUCUGUGGCCAAUGGCUCUCGUUGCUGCAGUUGUCCAGCACUGUGUGUGUUAAGCUUUCUUCAGAUAGCUGUUUCUGUAAAGCUGCAUGUUCGCAUUUAGCAGGAAAUUGUUGGAUGCAAUAAAAGACAAUAUAUCUCACACUGUUUCUUUUUGUUAGCUGCUAUACGGAAGCCUGGCCCUGCUGCAGGGGGAUGUUAUUUUCUUAAGGGACUGCUCUUAUGAGAUCAGUGCAGAACAAGAUAGCUGUGGAAAAAUAACAUGGAGAGUGGAAAUUCCAGCUGCAAUUUCUCAUUUCAUUCUUGUGCCAUGGCUUAAACUGAUAGAAUACCAGAGAUGAAAGCUAAUUUUGGAUCAACAGUUGCAUGCCUCAUCACUGGAUAUGAAUCUCAUUUCAUUCUCCUCUGAUGUUUAGAAUCCAUAAUAAAUAAGUAAUUACCUGCCUAGUGUGGGAAAUUACACAUGAGACUCAGUCAUCUAGAGCUAGCAUCAGGUCUGCCAGUUCUUAAA